Molecule: long non-coding RNA, 1425 nt
Filed under: Manacus vitellinus (golden-collared manakin)
Lineage: Eukaryota; Metazoa; Chordata; Aves; Passeriformes; Pipridae
Description: lncRNA (ENSMVIG00005007873.1)
Source: RNAcentral
UCCUUCUGAACCAGGGCUUUUGAUACAGGCACAAAGGUUCACAGCCUGCUCGUCUAGUUGGUGAGACCGUCCAGUCCCUCUUGUGUCAUUUGUGGUGGCAUUGCAGACUUUGAGAACAAUCAGAAGGACAAACCCCAAGCUGUUUGGAUGCUGCUCAGCCCCAAAUACGUGAGAAGAGCUAUUCCGACGUGAGUGUCUUCUCUGCACUGCAAUGCAGGGAUGGAGCUAAGGAUGAGCAAUGGGAACACUGUCAGGAUUACAGCCAGGAGCAGCCCUGCUGGUUGGAUGGGCAGAUGAUGGCACCGACAGAGGCUUCCCAGUGUGACACCCCAAGGCUGCCCCUUCCUUGGGCCAGCGUCCUCAUCCCGCAGGUACGACAUCACCCACAACUCAUCACAAAGCUCCGUUUGUGUCCCGAGCCCUGAACCUAUUUCAAAGCCCAAGCUAAAUUACACAAACACUUGCCUAUAGACAUAACAGGACUGUUAUGAAAUACUGUCAGCUUGUUGCCAUUUAGCCCGAGCACACCCUGCAUGUGUCUGUCAGGCCAUACUUGGGCAGCUCUGCCGCGUGCGACGUGUCCCAGACACUGGGGUGAUUAUGUCUGAAUGCUCCUUAUCUGAUGGGGCAGCCGACAGUGCUGCACAUCUGUGCUCCGAGGCUCUGCUGCGGCGCUGCCACGCCACUAUUUAUUUUGCUUCUGCAAGUUAGUUUGCCUUGAGAAGCAGCAGGGGCCUUCUUCAAUGAACUGAAAAAUGUGUAUUGUAUGAAGGUCUGCAGAGGGUUUGUACCGUAGUUCAGUGGGCAAACGCGAACCCAGGGGAUGACAUUUCAUUUAAACAUUUGGUUUACAUCUUUACAUGCCAAAAAUAUUAAUAUCCUGACUUCAGCAAACUGAAUUCAGCACUUUUUUUUCCCCCCUCCCCUUAAAUGAAGUAAUUAUAGCCAAAACACUCUGUGGGUAUUUAUUCUUCCUUCUCAGAGGUGGAGUUUCGCACACGAACAUUUGGUUUCAGGGCUGGAAUUGUCAGUAGCUGCUCACUUGACACUUUCCCCUUCGUUUGCAUUGGAAACCACCAGUAGUUUCUUUUCUCGUGUUUAUUGUAUUACUCUCCGCCCUUUGAUCAGGACAUCUUGGAUAGCAGCAAAGUCUAGCUUAGUGCCGCCUGUUUGCUAGUUAGAAAAAAAAAGGUGAAGAAUAUGGUUUCUGUCAAAGGAUCUACAAAGACAGUUAAUGUAAUUGAGAAGCAGAAGGGCAUUUAUGGAAGUGCAUCUGAAUGUCCUCUUCACAUGUAAUUGCAUCAGGAAUUCUACAUUAACAUGCAAGUGCUGUCCAAAGGGAAAAAAAAAAAGAAAAAAGCUUAUUUUUAGGUAGAAGCCCUCAGUGGGCAGUAAAUUACCCAUAAUAUCCCCCAAACUAGCAAU